Molecule: ribosomal RNA, 1026 nt
Filed under: Triticum aestivum (bread wheat)
Lineage: Eukaryota; Viridiplantae; Streptophyta; Magnoliopsida; Poales; Poaceae
Description: partial small subunit ribosomal RNA
Source: RNAcentral
AGAGAGGAGUGGCUUUACGGGGGGAGUGGAUCAUCUCAUUCUGAGAAAGAUGAACAAGCUUGGACCUCUCUCUGGAAAUUGAAAGUUCCGUCGAAGGUGCGAAUCUUCCUAUGGAGGCUUGCACAUCAUUCACUACCCACAACGGAUGUUUUGAAGAGGCGAAACAUGUCAGAACGAGAUGUGUGCCCGCUAUGUGGAUGUGAAGAUUCUUGGCGCCAUGCUUUGGUUGCAUGCACGAUGGCCCGCUGUGUAUGGGCGCUUUCGGAUGAAGCUUUGGUGUCAAUCAUGUCUGAACACGAGGAGUCCAACGCAAAAAUUUGGUUAUUCGAACUAAGUGAGAAGCUGGACCAUGCUAGCUUCACGAGGAUGAUAAUAACAUUGUGGUCAUUAUGGUAUGCUAGGAGAAAGGCUGUUUAUGAAUCAAUUUUUCAGAGUCCUCAACAAACGGCGUCCUUUAUUAACAACUAUAUUGAUGAGCUGGGCCAAGUGAACGCCAGGGGAGUGCAUGAUGGUACCUCUAGGGCUGCACCACCACGACCGAAGCGGUGGCUUCCCCCAAUGAGUGACAAUGCAAAGAUCAAUGUUGAUGGGGCUGUGGUGAGAACUAGGAGAGGAGGAGCUAUUGCAGCUCUAUGUCGCGACCAAGACGGUCAAUACUUGGGGUCAUCGGCGGUGGUUUACUAUGGGAUCACGGAUCCCUUAAUGUUGGAGACUUAUGCAUGCCGUGAGGCACUUGCCUUGGCAGAAGACCUGGGUGAGCAGAAGAUCUGUGUGGCCUCAGACUACCAAGAGGCGGUGAAUGACAUAAACAGGGGAACAGGAGGCCCCAAUGCUGCGUUGGUACAUGAAAUAAUGAAUCACUGUAAUAGUUUUACUUCGUGCUCUUUUGUUUUCGAGCGUAGAAACUUCAAUUUCGAAGCUCAUAAUCUCGCCAAGUUUGCUUGUAACCUAGAGAUAGGUAGACACGUUUGGUUGGGCACCCCCCAUGACCCAAACCUUGUACCGAUGACAAUUCCCCUUGAAUAA